Long non-coding RNA from Mercenaria mercenaria, 1909 nucleotides. RefSeq lists it as uncharacterized. The record is from RefSeq and is a predicted model, not a curated record. Lineage: Eukaryota; Metazoa; Mollusca; Bivalvia; Venerida; Veneridae. The transcript has 3 exons.
GAAUAAUAACCGGGGUCGUUAUUCUAUGAGAUUCGAAAGGAAUCAUCUUUAGGGAGUCAGUAUUUUACUUGGAGGGGUCAGUUUUUCUAUAAAAUAAUGACCGGGGGGUCGUUAUUCUAUAGAAUUUUCAAAGGGAGUCAGUUUUUUAUAAGGGGAGUCAAUAUUUUAGAGGAUGUUAAACCAGGAAAAAUUGUUUACAUCAGCGGAAUAUCUUCCGAGAAUUCGAAUCAGUAAAAGCUAUGCUCAGUGAUGUUAUUCAAUUUACAUUAUAAAUUCUUAAUGCAAUAUCUCAAUCUGGGCUGAUUUCAUCAACGCUCGUGGACACAUACCCGUUCCAUAUUGUCAUAGAAACCUUUCAGUAAAAAUAAUUUUGAGAGUGGACAAGACGUGGCUUUGUAUUUGACAUUAGAUUCUGUUUUGGUAAUGAUCGCAGUGUAAUAGUUAGGAACAUCAGACAAAACAAUAGUUGGGGCCAAGAGGAAAGGGCAAUGAAUGGAACUUUUUAUUUUCGAGCAGACAAAUUCUUCGACAUGACGUUUCUUAUAGAAACAUCCUGCUUUAAGGUAGCAGUAAACAAUCAACAUGUAAUCGAAUUCAUGCAUAGACUUGCCUCCCAUCGUAUCGACACACUACGUGUAACCGGUGAUAUUCGGCUUUGUUACGCCAUAUUCUAAAUACAGAGAGACAACUGAUAGGGAUGUUUGAAAAGAGCAAAGGACGCCUGUGAUAAACAUUUUGAAAUGUUUCAUAUAUACGCAUAUAUAACAUAAGGUGGUUUAUUUAGGACAUUUCGUUUUGUCGCAUUGUUGUAUUGUUUAUAGUGCAACACUGGCGUGAACGCCAUCUCACCAUUACGAAGUGUUGGAAGUUUCGUUACGUCGUAAUUGCGUACAAAGAAAUGAACCUAUCAGUGCACUACAACGAAACAUCUCAAGUAACAGAACUAAGUAUUUUGCUUCGUUUUGGUGUGCAGCCAUCUACAACAUCUCCGCAUUGGCGCGUAAGCGCGCACCAAAUCGUCAUAAAAUGCAUUACAACAUUACAGUAAAUUUCGUUCUAUGUCGUUGUGACACGAGCAAAACUCAACACAACAAAGCAUUUCAGAUAGUUUUAGCGCGUGCACAAACACGUCAUUACGAAAUUUAAUAUUCUGUUGCUCAAUGUGUUGUUAUGGUGCAUUGCCAGCUCCGUCUUUUUUCCUCAUGCGCCUCGCGUGCCAAAACCACACAUGACUGUGCUACAUAAGCCCGGACGCCAACGCGAUUUAACUAACAGUCUUCUUUUAGCCACCUUUAAUGGUUUGGUAUUAAUACAUUAAUCUCCAAAAGAACUUUUAAUUGUUAUUGGUAAACAAAGGUUAAAGGCUCAUAUUGCCUUUCUUUAUAGGACGAGUGCCAUAUUUUUGUAAAGAACAUGUCUUUUUCUUGUAAAUCCUAUUGAUUGUUGUUUUCUUAUAUAUUUACCAAAGCUUUGAAUAUUGAUUAACGUUGUAGAAUAUAUUACUGAACCCUUUGUUUAUGAUUAUCCCCUUUAUGACCCUAACUUUAUAAGUUCCUGAGUGAUGUUGAAAGUACUGAUUUUUCAAACCAUUUUAUUAUGCGUAUCAUAAUAAUUGAAUAGUAUAUUGUAAAAGGACGCAACAUUUUUCUUCAAGUAAUUCAACCUAAGAAAUUAUGAAAAAUACAUUGACACUUUUCAUUCUUUAUUUAUCAUUUCAAAGAUUUAGAUGAACGAAUAAUUGUUUUAACUGGUGUUCAUUUUGUUACCAAAAUGCACUUAAUAUUUCUUGCAUGUUUACAACUGAGAUAUUCGGAAGGUUUCGGGAAAAUCCCACAUCAUCUUGAAUCUUGUAUGCACGGAAACUUGUAUGUGGACCAGCUGCAUUGCAAAUACUUUAAACAAGGAUCAA